UAGUGAUGAGAUUAUUCAUGUAAGGCGUCAAACAUCAACAAUAGAGAAAUAGGGGAUUAUAUACACAACCUAACCGCUUUCGUAAUUUUGUCUGAACUCUUUGUUUCUUUUCGCUUUAACACAACUUCAUCCUCGUUCCCGAUAGAGGUAACCUGAUUAUCUAAGCAAAGUUUCAAAAUGUAGUUGUCAUCAAUGACGAUAUAGUCAUAACUUAGAACCUCU
Molecule: long non-coding RNA, 222 nt
Filed under: Lathyrus oleraceus (garden pea)
Lineage: Eukaryota; Viridiplantae; Streptophyta; Magnoliopsida; Fabales; Fabaceae
Description: Pisum sativum (pea) long non-coding RNA (PSAT_LNC017396)
Source: RNAcentral